UACGUAGGGGGCAAGCGUUGUCCGGAUUUAUUGGGCGUAAAGAGCGUGUAGGCGGCUAGAUAGGUCCGUUGUGAAAACUCGAGGCUCAACCUCGAGACGCCGGUGGAAACCAUCUAGCUAGAGUCCGGAAGAGGAGAGUGGAAUUCCUGGUGUAGCGGUGAAAUGCGCAGAUAUCAGGAGGAACACCAAUUGCGAAGGCAGCUCGCUGGGACGUUACUGACGCUGAGACGCGAAAGCGUGGGGAGCAAACAGG
RNAcentral lists this ribosomal RNA (253 nucleotides) under uncultured bacterium. RNAcentral describes it as "partial 16S ribosomal RNA". It matches the Rfam family "Bacterial small subunit ribosomal RNA", at positions 524 to 776 of the family's 1533-position model. The record is from RNAcentral.